GUUCGUUGCUACUGCUGUGUCAUUGCAUCCUUUGCGAUUUCGUGUCUUCUCCACUGCCUCCUUUCCUCUCCACUGCCAACUGCCAUCAGCGCCUUCAUUUUAAGGAUUGAGGCUGCUUUGGCUGUCGAUGCAAGUAACACACACAACAUAUUAAUCAGACACAUCAGUCAUAUCUUUAUAUUGAUUUAUUCACAAUUCUACAUGUCC
Long non-coding RNA from Megalobrama amblycephala (Wuchang bream), 207 nucleotides. RefSeq lists it as uncharacterized. NCBI's taxonomy places the organism in Eukaryota, Metazoa, Chordata, Actinopteri, Cypriniformes, Xenocyprididae. The record is from RefSeq and is a predicted model, not a curated record. The transcript has 4 exons.